This 253-nucleotide ribosomal RNA is filed under the name uncultured bacterium. Its description in RNAcentral is "partial 16S ribosomal RNA". It matches the Rfam family "Bacterial small subunit ribosomal RNA", at positions 524 to 776 of the family's 1533-position model. The record is from RNAcentral.
UACGGAGGGGGCAAGCGUUGUUCGGAAUUACUGGGCGUAAAGGGCUCGUAGGCGGCCAACUAAGUCGGACGUGAAAUCCCCAGGCUCAACCUGGGAACUGCGUCUGAUACUGGAUGGCUUGAAUCCGGGAGAGGGAUGCAGAAUUCCAGGUGUAGCGGUGAAAUGCGUAGAUAUCUGGAGGAAUACCGGUGGCGAAGGCGGCAUCCUGGACCGGCAUUGACGCUGAGGAGCGAAAGCCAGGGGAGCAAACGGG